GCAGAAAGCAACUACACACAAACAAGAUCCCACAACUGAAGAUGAUGCCAGCAGAGUCGCCUUUGGGGUCAGGAGCCUGAGGCUAUCCUGAGGCUAGGAGUGUCCAACCAGAUUUAUAUCCCUGAGAGAGGAGCAACAUCCAUUCUACUAGCAGGUGAGCUGAUCCUAUUUGCCAGCCUGGUGAGAUCUACCAGUCUAUAAAUCUAAACCAACCAACAAAAUGUAUGAAACACAACACACCACUAAGUAUGGACCUGCCGCUAUGAUACCAAUUUGAUACGCAAAUAUAAUGUGGACCAAUAACAUGUUUUCCAUAAAUAAGUGCAACUAAUUUCAUUUCCUACCUUAGUGUGACUUUUGGCAUUGGGUCGUUUUGGCAUUGGCAAGUCGUUUUUCAUAGUCAGGGCUGUAGCAGCUUGUUGCAAGUCUCAUGCGGGCCACAAGGUGGUCAUCAGUCAUAGCAGAUCUGUACUUGGACUUUAUUAUCGUCAUGUGAGAAAAUGCAGACUCACAGAGGUAGGUUGAUCCAAAAAGGGCUGAGAAGUUGAGAGCACAUCUUCUUAUGUUGGGAUACUUCUCCUCCAGCAGCAGCUCCCAGAACUCUUCCUUCAUCUCAGUGGCUGCCUUGGAUUUCAGCUGAAUGUCAUUUUGAAUGGUGAGAAAUUCAGUUUCUGCUAUAGUUGUGUCCAACUGAAAAAGUGAUCCCAUUUGAGGCAAUGACUUCCACAUUUA
Long non-coding RNA from Salvelinus sp. IW2-2015, 732 nucleotides. RefSeq lists it as uncharacterized. The record is from RefSeq and is a predicted model, not a curated record. NCBI's taxonomy places the organism in Eukaryota, Metazoa, Chordata, Actinopteri, Salmoniformes, Salmonidae.